RNAcentral lists this ribosomal RNA (253 nucleotides) under uncultured bacterium. RNAcentral describes it as "partial 16S ribosomal RNA". It matches the Rfam family "Bacterial small subunit ribosomal RNA", at positions 524 to 776 of the family's 1533-position model. The record is from RNAcentral.
UACGUAGGGUGCGAGCGUUGUCCGGAAUUAUUGGGCGUAAAGAGCUCGUAGGCGGCUUGUCGCGUCGGAUGUGAAAGCCCGGGGCUUAACUCCGGGUCUGCAUUCGAUACGGGCAGGCUAGAGUUCGGUAGGGGAGAUCGGAAUUCCUGGUGUAGCGGUGAAAUGCGCAGAUAUCAGGAGGAACACCGAUGGCGAAGGCAGGUCUCUGGGCCACUACUGACGCUGAGAAGCGAAAGCGUGGGGAGCGAACAGG